CUGCCAAGUAUAUAUAUACAAGGCAGAUCACAUCACACAUAUAACAUGUAAUAAAAACUAUGAAAGUUUGCCAAACCAAACUCAUUCUGCCCAAACUAUGAUGCUCUUAGUCUCUUUGCUUCUUCGAUCUCAAGAUAUUGGGGUAAGAAUUGUGGUGAUGGAGAGAAGUGUGAGCUACAUGAUGAAAGGGCACAAAUUACCAAGGUAUUGGCGCGCCUCAAUUUGAAGACAUGGUUAACAUGAAAUUACUAACCAUGUCAUUUGAUUGAGCCGCGUCAAUAUCUCGCUCAUGAUCUACUUCUUUUCAUCUCCAUGUACCCUUCUAAAUCUCAAAUUUCAGUGAAGGAUACUCAUGAUGCUUAAGCAUUAGAAGAAUCUACUUGAGAAUAAUGUUAAGGAUCGGUUACAGGAAAGGGGUCAUGGGCAGACUAGUAGCUCUUAAAGGUUCAAACUCAAGUGGGGGCUUUCUCUAGUUUGCAUUAAAUUCCAUACCAAAAUAGCAUGCAUCUACCCAGGCUCUUUCAAUGGUGAUGUUUCUCUCUAAAUGAUUUGUGGUAAAUAUUUUAAAACACAUGCACUAGCAUUGUGAUCUUUAUGCUCCUUCUGUCCCUUUUUGUAAAAAUAUGUACUAAAAAUUAAGGGUAAUAAGAAAAGUUGUUUGGAACUAUAAAUUUAUCUAAAAUGUGUGUGAGUAUUUUUAAAAGGGAAAUGUUAACUUGAACCUUUAGGGCACAUGUUAAGAAUUCUAUUAAUAGAAAUUAUGUCUCGGAGAUUGUGUUAAUUUAUUGUUUAAAAAAUCUAAUAUUAAUUUUUUCAAUUAAUACUUGCCAUUAGUGGCAAUAAUUGAAUGCUUAACAUGUGCCCUAAAGGCACAAGUUAACAUGACGCUUUUUAAAAAUACAAUUUGUAUAUAAAUGCAUUCAAUGUUACCUUUCUUAUUCUUCCAAGAUAAAUUGAUACUUCCUUUGGUUCCUUUUAUAAGAGAUAAAUGAGUGCCCGUGAGCAUAGUUCAGUUGGCAGGAACAUGUAUUAUUAUAUGUAGGGACUAAAUACAUCAACUUUUGUUGAUUUAUUUGUUUUUUAUAACAAAAAAAAAAAAAAAUGACCGCAUGGAGUAGUAUGUUUAAAAGGAAUAUUUAGUGACAAAAAUAUAUUUAUAAAUGGUCUUAUAAUUAAGGAUAGAGAGUAUACGUAAACCAAUGAGUUAAUUUGAAUAUUACUCUAAAAGCUAGUUUAAAGGAUACCAAAAUAUCAUGUGUCUGCCCAGGCUCUUUGAAUGAUGAUGUUUUUCAACAAAUGAAUUGCGGUAAAUAUCUUAAAAUGCAAGCACUAGCAUUGUGAUCGAUCUUUAUACUCCUUCCGUCCCUUUUGUAAAAAAUAUAUAAUAAAAGUUAAGGGUAAUAAUUAAAGUUGUUGGAGCGAUAAAUUUAUCUAAAAUGUGUGAGUAUUUCUAAAAUGCAUUUAAUAUUACUUUUCAUAUUCUUUCAAGAUAAAUUGAUAUUUCCUCGUGUUCUUUUUAUAAGAAUUAAAUGAGUGAAUAAAAAUUGAUGUAUGUGGUUCAUAAUAUAGAUCAAAUACAUUAACUUUUAUUAACUCAUUUGUCUUUUUUAAAAAAUGAGUAAUGUUUUUGUUUGAAAGGUAUAUUUGAAAAAAAAGUAAAUACAUAUAAAAAUUUGAAUGAGUUUGAAUAUUACUCUAAAAUCUAGUUUAAAUGAUUCUCGUUCUUUAUAUGAGUGGAUGAAUAUACAUGUCCUAUGCUGGGUUUGAUAGCCCUUCAUGGAGGGCACUUGGCGAGAUUUGUCUGUGUUUGUUGGUGAAGGGAAAUCAAGAGCAAACAAUACAUACAAUCGUGACGGAAUUCAAAAAAAUUCACAUUCGAUUUAUCACUAUGAAGGAUCGUGAACCAAUGAUCGGAUGAUUACCUUUUGUAGCAUGGUAUCGUUCAAAAUCCUUUCACUCACGGUGCUAGUUGGGCCGAAUGGAAGUUAAGAGAGAGUGUGUGUGAUUUCAGAAUGCGGCUGCUAGAGUAUCUGAAAAAUGGAUUGUGUUAUUUGCUUCGGUACAAGAGUUCUAUUUAUAAAGACACUUGUAUACAUUGUAUCUUGCGGUGUAUCACCUUUCUCAUUUAAACGCAUGGUACCUUAUUGAUGA
This is a long non-coding RNA of Medicago truncatula (barrel medic), 2151 nucleotides long. RefSeq lists it as uncharacterized. The transcript is spliced from 2 exons. The record is from RefSeq and is a predicted model, not a curated record. NCBI's taxonomy places the organism in Eukaryota, Viridiplantae, Streptophyta, Magnoliopsida, Fabales, Fabaceae.